Molecule: ribosomal RNA, 153 nt
Filed under: Klebsiella pneumoniae
Lineage: Bacteria; Pseudomonadati; Pseudomonadota; Gammaproteobacteria; Enterobacterales; Enterobacteriaceae
Description: partial 16S ribosomal RNA
Rfam family: Bacterial small subunit ribosomal RNA
Source: RNAcentral
UCCAGAGAUGGAUUGGUGCCUUCGGGAACUGUGAGACAGGUGCUGCAUGGCUGUCGUCAGCUCGUGUUGUGAAAUGUUGGGUUAAGUCCCGCAACGAGCGCAACCCUUAUCCUUUGUUGCCAGCGGUUCGGCCGGGAACUCAAAGGAGACGGC